CCCAAUGGAGGAAAGUCACUUUCGAGCAACGGGGGGAAAAAGUGAUGAAUGUUUCCCGGAUCGUAAGGUCUGUUGUUAGGGAAGAACAAGUACCGUUCGAAUAGGGCGGUACCUUGACGGUACCUAACCAGAAAGCCACGGCUAACUACGUGCCAGCAGCCGCGGUAAUACGUAGGUGGCAAGCGUUGUCCGGAAUUAUUGGGCGUAAAGCGCGCGCAGGCGGUUUCUUAAGUCUGAUGUGAAAGCCCCCGGCUCAACCGGGGAGGGUCAUUGGAAACUGGGGAACUUGAGUGCAGAAGAGGAGAGUGGAAUUCCACGUGUAGCGGUGAAAUGCGUAGAGAUGUGGAGGAACACCAGUGGCGAAGGCGACUCUCUGGUCUGUAACUGACGCUAAAGCCCAAAACCCGGGAGCAAACAGGGAUUACAUAACCCUGGGCAACCCACGCCGUAAACAAGGAUUGCUAAAUGUUAAAAGGAUUUCCCCCCUUAAAGCUGCAACAAACCGGGACGACUCUC
This 516-nucleotide ribosomal RNA is filed under the name Bacillus licheniformis. Its description in RNAcentral is "bacterial SSU rRNA". It matches the Rfam family "Bacterial small subunit ribosomal RNA", at positions 367 to 869 of the family's 1533-position model. Lineage: Bacteria; Bacillati; Bacillota; Bacilli; Caryophanales; Bacillaceae. The record is from RNAcentral.